UUCAGUGCAUGCCGAGUCCCAGUAAUACGGCAGUAGCCAGCUGCCAAAGUGCUGUGACGCACUGACGAAUGCUGGGUGGGCCAAGCGGCUGCGGCAGCAGCGCAUCGCCGCACGCCCCAAAUGCACCCUGGUCGCCUGGACCUUCCCAAGUUCCACGCCCAUCGCGCCAGACCAGUAUUCGUAAGCCGCCAUCAUCAAAAGGGUGCUUGUUUGCCGCACGUGCAAACAUGACGACAGCCGGGCACGCUCGCGCGCCACAGUCAUAUGCCGGGUAACAAUCUGCUGCUGUAUAAUAGGCACCCUCCAACCCUACUAAUGCCGAAGCCUACCAAUACAACACCGACAUGCCGGCGCCUUGGCCCGCCCAGCACGCAGAAUUUUAUGCGCCCGUGGGGCCCGUACCUUGCUCAGACACCCCUCACCCACAUUUACCCCGCAACACUUAAUCACAAGCACAUGCAUGCACACAAACACACACGGGCAAUCAGGCACACAAGAACACGCUCGCCACCCGUACUAGCACCCACCCUACCCCUGUCGUGACCCCCUACUGCUUCGCCGUCGGCGCAGGAGCAGCCGUGCUCGCGCUGGAGGCCACGGUGGUGGCGGCGGUCGGCGGCAGCUCGGGCACGGCGUUGAGGAUGUCAUCGAGCUCGCGGUCGAAGGCCAGCUUGGCGCGGUUAGUGCGGCCCGACACAAACAGGCUGGAGC
This 711-nucleotide long non-coding RNA is filed under the name Chlamydomonas reinhardtii. Its description in RNAcentral is "long non-coding RNA (CREI_LNC001078)". Lineage: Eukaryota; Viridiplantae; Chlorophyta; Chlorophyceae; Chlamydomonadales; Chlamydomonadaceae. The record is from RNAcentral.